RNAcentral lists this ribosomal RNA (359 nucleotides) under fungal sp. OMLIsolate5. RNAcentral's name for it is "partial 18S ribosomal RNA". The stretch from base 60 to 213 matches the Rfam family "5.8S ribosomal RNA". Lineage: Eukaryota; Fungi. The record is from RNAcentral.
ACGGCCCCCCUGAACGCUGUCUGAAGUUGCAGUCUGAGACCUAUAACGAAAUUAGUUAAAACUUUCAACAACGGAUCUCUUGGUUCCGGCAUCGAUGAAGAACGCAGCGAAAUGCGAUAACUAAUGUGAAUUGCAGAAUUCAGUGAAUCAUCGAGUCUUUGAACGCACAUUGCGCCCUCUGGUAUUCCGGAGGGCAUGCCUGUCCGAGCGUCAUUGCUGCCCUCAAGCCCGGCUUGUGUGUUGGGCCCCGUCCCCCCCGCCGGGGGGACGGGCCCGAAAGGCAGCGGCGGCACCGCGUCCGGUCCUCGAGCGUAUGGGGCUUCGUCACCCGCUCUAGUAGGCCCGGCCGGCGCCAGCCG